This 73-nucleotide transfer RNA is filed under the name Felis catus (domestic cat). It matches the Rfam family "tRNA". From Rfam's summary of the family: Transfer RNA (tRNA) molecules are approximately 80 nucleotides in length. Their secondary structure includes four short double-helical elements and three loops (D, anti-codon, and T loops). RNAcentral also lists the same sequence under 2 other names. Lineage: Eukaryota; Metazoa; Chordata; Mammalia; Carnivora; Felidae. The record is from Rfam by way of RNAcentral.
AUCUGGCUGGCUCAGUUGGUAGAGCACAUGACUCUUGACCUUGGGGUUGUGGGUUCGAGCCCCAUGCUGUGUG